CAUCUUUCCGGGGGAGGAAAGCUCCGCUCUCCAAGAUGCAGGUGUAUGGAGAAGCAAGGCCUGCCGUUGCAGAAUAUUCUGUUUUCCAUGGGAACGUUCAAAUGGAUCGUGCAGAAGAAACAUUUUUCGCUUCAGACUCUGCUGCCGCUGAGAAUCUAAAGCUGUAAAAAAUGAUUUUAAAAAUUUCCCUGAGGGCCAGGGGAGUAGCUCAGCAGUGUAGCACUUGCCUGGCAAGCAUAAGGCCCUGAAUUUGAUUCUCAGUACUAAAAAAAUAAAAAUAAAAAUUGCAUUGUAACCUAAGAGGCAAUAGAUUUUAUCCCUGAGCCAUGUCCUUAACUUUCUUUCUCCAUCUCAAAUAAAUCCCUUGCUGCAAG
This 374-nucleotide long non-coding RNA is filed under the name Fukomys damarensis (Damara mole-rat). Its description in RNAcentral is "lncRNA (ENSFDAG00000021888.1)". Lineage: Eukaryota; Metazoa; Chordata; Mammalia; Rodentia; Bathyergidae. The record is from RNAcentral.